UACGGGGGGGGCAAGCGUUGUUCGGAAUUACUGGGCGUAAAGCGCGUGUAGGCGGGUCCGCAAGUCUGCUGUGAAAGCUCCUGGCUUAACCGGGAGUGGUCGGUGGAAACUGCGAACCUGGAGGACGGUAGAGGUAGGUAGAAUUCCCGGUGUAGUGGUGAAAUGCGUAGAGAUCGGGAGGAAUACCUGUGGCGAAGGCGGCCUACUGGGCCGGACCUGACGCUGAGACGCGAAGGCGUGGGGAGCGAACGGG
RNAcentral lists this ribosomal RNA (253 nucleotides) under uncultured bacterium. RNAcentral's name for it is "partial 16S ribosomal RNA". It matches the Rfam family "Bacterial small subunit ribosomal RNA", at positions 524 to 776 of the family's 1533-position model. The record is from RNAcentral.